RNAcentral lists this ribosomal RNA (253 nucleotides) under uncultured bacterium. RNAcentral's name for it is "partial 16S ribosomal RNA". It matches the Rfam family "Bacterial small subunit ribosomal RNA", at positions 524 to 776 of the family's 1533-position model. The record is from RNAcentral.
UACGGAGGAUGCAAGCGUUGUCCGGAAUCAUUGGGCGUAAAGGGUCCUGAGGCGGUUUGCUCAGUCCACUGUGAAAGUUCAGGGCUUACCCUUGAAAAUGCGGUGGAAACUAGUAGGCUAGAGUACGGUGGGGGCAGAGGGAAUUCCCGAUGUAGCGGUGAAAUGCAUAGAUAUCGGGAAGAACACCGAAGGCGAAGGCACUCUGCUGGGCCGACACUGACACUGAAAGACGAAAGCCAGGGGAGCGAAUGGG